UACGGAGGGGGCUAGCGUUGUUCGGAAUUACUGGGCGUAAAGCGCACGUAGGCGGCUUUGUAAGUUAGAGGUGAAAGCCCGGAGCUCAACUCCGGAAUUGCCUUUAAGACUGCAUCGCUAGAAUUGUGGAGAGGUGAGUGGAAUUCCGAGUGUAGAGGUGAAAUUCGUAGAUAUUCGGAAGAACACCAGUGGCGAAGGCGACUCACUGGACACAUAUUGACGCUGAGGUGCGAAAGCCAGGGGAGCGAACGGG
Molecule: ribosomal RNA, 253 nt
Filed under: uncultured bacterium
Lineage: Bacteria
Description: partial 16S ribosomal RNA
Rfam family: Bacterial small subunit ribosomal RNA
Source: RNAcentral